AGAGUUUGAUCAUGGCUCAGAUUGAACGCUGGCGGCAGGCUUAACACAUGCAAGUCGAACGGUAACAGGAAGAAAGCUUGCUUUCUUUGCUGACGAGUGGCGGACGGGUGAGUAAUGCUUGGGAAUCUGGCUUAUGGAGGGGGAUAACUACGGGAAACUGCAGCUAAUACCGCGUAGUAUCGGAAGAUGAAAGUGUGGGACCGCAAGGCCACAUGCCAUAAGAUGAGCCCAAGUGGGAUUAGGUAGUUGGUUAGGUAAAGGCUGACCAAGCCGACGAUCUCUAGCUGGUCUGAGAGGAUGACCAGCCACACUGGAACUGAGACACGGUCCAGACUCCUACGGGAGGCAGCAGUGGGGAAUAUUGCACAAUGGGGGGAACCCUGAUGCAGCCAUGCCGCGUGAAUGAAGAAGGCCUUCGGGUUGUAAAGUUCUUUCGGUGAUGAGGAAGGUGUUUGUUUGAAUAGGACAAGCAAUUGACGUUAGUCACAGAAGAAGCACCGGCUAACUCCGUGCCAGCAGCCGCGGUAAUACGGAGGGUGCGAGCGUUAAUCGGAAUAACUGGGCGUAAAGGGCACGCAGGCGGUGACUUAAGUGAGAUGUGAAAGCCCCGGGCUUAACCUGGGAAUUGCAUUUCAUACUGGGUCGCUAGAGUACUUUAGGGAGGGGUAGAAUUCCACGUGUAGCGGUGAAAUGCGUAGAGAUGUGGAGGAAUACCGAAGGCGAAGGCAGCCCCUUGGGAAUGUACUGACGCUCAUGUGCGAAAGCGUGGGGAGCAAACAGGAUUAGAUACCCUGGUAGUCCACGCUGUAAACGCUGUCGAUUUGGGGAUUGGGCUUUGAGCUUGGUGCCCGUAGCU
This 856-nucleotide ribosomal RNA is filed under the name uncultured bacterium. RNAcentral's name for it is "bacterial SSU rRNA". It matches the Rfam family "Bacterial small subunit ribosomal RNA", at positions 8 to 853 of the family's 1533-position model. The record is from RNAcentral.